Molecule: long non-coding RNA, 3991 nt
Organism: Frankliniella occidentalis (western flower thrips)
Lineage: Eukaryota; Metazoa; Arthropoda; Insecta; Thysanoptera; Thripidae
Exons: 3
Source: RefSeq, a predicted model, not a curated record
AUUCGUAGCUAUGCGUUGGCAAAGGAGUUUGCUGUUGCUGUGCGCCCCUCUCGUCUCUCAUCGAGUGCUCGUAAAAAGUCUACCAGGGAUUUGCCAUGAAAUUGAGGGUUUUGCGACCCGCGCAUGCAAGCAUAGCCUUGAGUGUCAGAGACCGCCGCUAACGCUGGUCUACAAGUGCAACAUUUGAAGAGAGCGAGGCGUGCGCGGCUGCUCUCUUCAUACUGCUGCACCAGGCAUAUGAGGAAAACAACGAGGGUGAGUCACUCAAUGUGUGGGUGCAGAAAAGAGCUGACGCUUCGCCCACAUUCUUCUACUGGCUCCUAGUUCUGAACCUGGAGACCCUUUGUUUUCUCUCCUUAAAGUCAGUGCGGGGGCAGGACUACGAGUUGUACAAAGAGUGCCUUACCCGAAUACUGCCGUGGUGUUUUGUCGUCAAUAGAUUAAAUUACGCCAAAGCUUUGUCGAUACAGCUCACCGAUUUGACGUAAGGGAGGGUGGGGCAGUUAGUGACAGGGGCAGUUAGUGACACUUCGUACCCUAGGCCGUCCAAUUGAAUUUUCGCACCAACUUCGAUCGGCUUAACCAAGUUUCAGAGCUCGAAAAACAUUUGCCACAAGGCGGUGGUGUUCGGCAAAUUGUUAUGGCGGUGGUGAAACUUUGAAUGUGUCUGAUCACAAUUUUGAGGUAAGUUUCGACUUUUGCCCUUUUUUCUUUUUGUAAAUACUCCGUAAAUAUCGCCAACUUCACCAUACGGAUUUUUCUGUGAUUGGUAUGGACUAUAUACUUAAUGAUUUUACGCGCGGUCCGAACUUAGUCCGACGAGUUAACCUCUCGUUCACGUUGAAACACCGUACUGCACUUGGGGUAGAUAGUGACAGUUUUUGCCGGGGCAGUUAGUGACACCUAGAUUUUUAUAAUACAACGCGUAUUUCUCUGUUGACAUAAUGCACUGAACUGACAUUUUUUUUUUGAUGUGUGGUCUAAACUCUAUUGGUUUUUCAGGUCCAGAAUGGUUCGAAACUACUUUUGAAACUAGUUUUGUGAGUAAAACUCCUUCUAGCGCCUAAACGGUGAGAGGCAUCGCCAGCAUUAAAUGCGCACAUAUCCAUUGGCCAAGGUCCUGGCUACUGUUUCAAUUUUUUUUUAUUUUUCUUUAUUUUUCUCUGAUUUUUACUGAUUUUUUCCGAUUUUUUCCCGACGAUUUUGGAGAGAAUUGACGUAAAUCGGCCAGAAUCGGGCAAAAUCGAGCAAAAUCGGGCAAAAUCGAGCAAUCGGCCUUAAUCAGGAUCUCUCCAAAAUCGUCGGGAAAAAAUCGGAAAAAAUCAGAAAAAUUCGGAAAAAAUAAAGAAAAAUAAAAAAAAUUGAAACUGUAGCCAGGACCUUGGCCAACGGAUCUGUGCGCCUUGUGCGCGCGAUGCGCACAUGCACAUACCUGCACCUGCCGCCGGUCCUGCUGCAGGCGGGCCGAUCUUGUGCACAAGCUAGUUGUGCACAGAAUGUCUGUGCACGCGAGUCGCACGUGUUGUGCACAGGACCGCUUUAUCACGGGAAAAGCAAGGUUUAAUGCAAUUUUAUACCGUUGUCACUAAGUGCCCCGACCUCUGUCACUAACUGCCCCGGGCCGGGGUACAUAGUGACAAAUGCAGGGCUCCAGUUCAAGCCACUUUGUUGGCACACUGGCUCGUAACUCAUCGAACCACCAUCUGCAUUACCUCGGCAAAGGUUGCAAGUAACUAUCUAAGCUUUCGUGCUCAACAUUUCGCCGAAAAUAAGCGAAAUAAGCUCGAUUUCCAAAAAGUGUCACUAACUGCCCCACCCUCCCUUACCUGUCUCAAGUUGCCCCUACAGUGCAAAAAAUAUUCUCCAACGGCUUUUUUGCCCUCAACAAAACGCCAGCCCCGCACUCAGCAAUUGCCGCUGACCCAUUUCAUGAGCAGAAUAAUGCUAUACUUAAAGCAGAGCUAGGUGCCUCUGGUCGCAUACACAGCGACAACAAAAUGCGGGGAAAGGUGCUGGUAGCCCCAGAAAUUGCACGUCUGUGGCAUGAAUUUUCUCUCAGGGCGACCAAGCAGAAGGCGGACUCUUCUCUUCACCGUGAACAAACUGCAGCCCACCAUAGAAUCAAUUCGUAACCCUUUUCACGAGACAGCACCAAACCUCGUCGCCAUUGAUUCGGGCGUUGUUCUGUCAAGUGAGUCCGUAGAAAACCUUCGUAUAGCAGGGGCGGAGGCUGUCAGAAUGAUGGAAACAUUUUUACAGAGAUCGCCUCUCCAGGCAGGGUGCGAACAAGUCUCCGUUCGACCCUAUGCAGAAAUGUAAGCUACAAUUAUUUUCAAAGUCUGCAGUGGUCGCUCGGCCCGAGGCGCGACAGAUCAAAAGUUUGAAGGAGGAUCUGCACCUGUUCACUUCUAUGUAGAUGGCUGCCUGACGAAACUGUUGGUGUAGGUGGCGGUGGUUCUUCGCCGCACCACCGUGCCGAUGGUGCUCCAUCAGUACAAGGAACACCACAGCUGGAGCUUCCUCGCUCGCGUCAUCCCCGCCAGCCUGCUGGCCACAACAGGCGCGGGCAAGCCGGGAAUCAGUCGCAGCACAACGACGAUUCGGAUGUAGAGGACAACAAUGGGCUCGACCGCCCGAAUCCGGUGAGGGCCGCGGCCAGCGGCCAGAGCCCGCGACCUCCAGCACGAGCACGACGAGCACGAAGCGCGCACGAGCGCCCGCCAAAGGCUUGCGCAGGCCAUAGAGGAGAGGAACGGAGGAGAGCGGACCGGGAGAUGGGCAGGCAGCGCCAGCAGCUGGCCGAAGUGGAGCGAGAGGCGCGGGAGGUGCAGAACAGGCCGGCGCAGCAGGGUAAAGAUGGUGCCGAAGUGCGGCUCCCGCAGCAGCUCGUCAACGCGAACCUCAUGGACGGCUGUGAUGCCUUUGGGAAGACUGUUGCCGACUUCCUGAGGCCAUUCUCCAUGGAUACGAGAGGGCUGCAGCCAUGUCGGACGUGCUCGGUCUCCUCACUGACUACAUAAGGAACAUGAGCCACCGGGGCAAUGACAAUGCCAACGGAUAAAAAUUUAUUUUGCACAUUGUUUUGUACGCUUGUUAAUGUUAUUUUUUUAUAACUGUUGAUUUUCAUGGACUGUGAUUGACAAUCCUUGAGUUCUUAAUUUUUUAUGUUCAUGUUCCACAACAGUUAUCUUACUGUGUUCUUUUUAUUGAAUUUUAUUCUUUUAUGUUGUAGACCAAGUAUUGUUUAAAAAGUUUGUGUUUGACUUGUAUAGGUGAAAGCAAUUUCAUUAAUGAUAUCUUCUUAAAUGUUAUCCUUGUCGUUAGUAAAUUUAUUUACAAUCUCCACAUGACCACACCAAGAUCAACAUUGUUUCAGAGAUUAACAUGUGUACACAGCAUAACAUUACCAAAAAAAGCCACAAUUUCACAGCACACACUGACCACUAUUCUAAGUAAAUUGCAACUAAUAUCACAGAGAGCCACUUAUGAGGGCAGAAUACAGACCACACUUCUGACUUACUUACAGUACCACAGCUUCUCACGAAUGGAUUCUACAAAUACAUACAAUUAGAUACAUGAUCCUAAAUAGAACACCUUAAUGCAUUCACACAGAGAGAUGAGCAUAACAUAGGCAACAGAAAAAACAAUUUAAGAAAACUUAUCAUGGUAUCUAAGUAGGAGUCUGGAGGAAUAAUGUGCCAUUGCCACGAUACUGGCUCAUAAAUAAAUAGUCUCAGAAAUUUUUCUCUGAUAAGGAUUGGAGCUAAGUCAUCAUCAUAUGUUGGAUUUGACCGUUGUAUAUCUCAGGGUUGGCAUAGAGUAUUAUAUUGUGCUUUAUGGAGCCAAAUUAAUUUGUACUUCUCCGGUGCUAAAUUCGAAGUGCAAAAUUUGAAGGGCGAAAUACAGUAUAGUGUAGAGCUAUAUUCUGUGAAAAUUAAAGGUGUCUUAAAAGUGCGAAACGAUUAAUUAAUUUCGCCCUCAAGGGAAAUAA